Molecule: long non-coding RNA, 412 nt
Filed under: Panax ginseng (ginseng)
Lineage: Eukaryota; Viridiplantae; Streptophyta; Magnoliopsida; Apiales; Araliaceae
Description: long non-coding RNA (PGIN_LNC017319)
Source: RNAcentral
AAUCCUCUCCAUUGUCUCUCCGCCCCAGGGGCCUUUCUCGUGGGAAGUAGAAAGACAAAAUUUACCCAAAAUACUAGAUCAGAUCCACCUGAAUUUCAGCAAAAUCGAAAACAAAGCCCUAGGAUUGAUUGAUCAAUCAACAAAUAAUGGCUCAACUCUCAUCAGAUUCACUAUCUGCAACCCUAGACUCUUCUCGCGCCGAUGAUCAACAAUCACAGAGCUCUUCUUCUGAUCCGUCUUCACAACUUUCACGUAAUCUAUCAUCGAGUCGACUCAACGCCAAAGCGCCUGAGUUCGUUCCUCGUAGUAGCAGUUCAACCGAUCCAACUCAGCAGACCCAGCUCUUAUACCACCAACCGCCACAGCCACUUAUCCCGGGCAGUGGUUACUUCCAUGCGCCGGCGAUUCAGGG